This is a non-coding RNA of Oncorhynchus mykiss (rainbow trout), 627 nucleotides long. The record is from RefSeq and is a predicted model, not a curated record. NCBI's taxonomy places the organism in Eukaryota, Metazoa, Chordata, Actinopteri, Salmoniformes, Salmonidae.
UCAACCAAUCACUCAACCAUUCAACCACUCAACCACUCAACCACUCAACCAACCAACCAAUCAAUCAAUCAACCAACCAAUCUCUGUUUGUGUGUCUUUGUGCUACAGCCAUUACAACCACACCGGUUCCAACUACAUUUCCAACUACCACCCAACCAACUAGUGACUUCACAACAUUCAGUACAAACCCAACCCCCGAUCUCACAACCAACAAUGUGGAUAACACAACAAUGAGUAAUGGGCCGAGAUACAUUGUUGGACUGAGGAUGAAACUCUCCUCUCUGACAUCAUUAACAGAUGAUGACAUCAGAGGAACGGUCUUACAGAAGCUCCGUGAGGAACUGAUCAGACGAGGGCAGUCAGGGGACGUAACACUACGCCUGAGAGCCAGUCAAGAGAUCAGCCCCUGAGGGAGUAUCUUGCACUCAAUUGUCUUUUGUUCCUGGCACUGAUUCUGCAGACAGUGGUUCUUCUUCUUCUGAAAAACAAGGGUUUACUUGACUGUACAUGGUUGAUGCAUGUGCCACAGUGGAGGCUGCUGAGGGGAGGACGGCUCAUAAUAAUGGCUGGAAUGGAGUAUAAUGUCUGGAAUGGAGUAUAAUGUCUGGAAUGGAGUGUAAUGUCUGG